GAUAGUGAAGCUAGUCUGGGAAGAGCGAGCAUCAGCUACCCGUAUCUGAGCCACUGUGCCGACAAGGCCCAGCCUCCUCGGGCUGGACACACCAGAGAUGGAUCUGACCUCCCCGAGUCUAAAAGGAAGACAAGUGUCACCCUGACACCGUGCAUGGCCUCCUGGCACAAGGCCCCACCAGCUGAUGAGAGGCCUUUGCUGGUCCAUCAGUGACCACACUGCGUGGGGCAGUGGGAUCAGGCAGGACAGGGCUUCAUCAUUCAUCAGAGGCCUCACCAGGCAAGAGCGGCGGUGAGAGAAGGUCUCGAAGCUUUUCUUGCCGUGGUAGGAUCCCAUGCCACUGUUCCCUGCGGAGGAGAAGUCAGCACAGGGCUCAGUAUCCUGCCCCCAGGACGCCCCAGGUUUCCCUCUCCACCUUGCUGGGUGUAUCCCAGAA
Molecule: non-coding RNA, 436 nt
Filed under: Pongo abelii (Sumatran orangutan)
Lineage: Eukaryota; Metazoa; Chordata; Mammalia; Primates; Hominidae
Source: RNAcentral